AUUGAACGCUGGCGGCAGGCCUAACACAUGCAAGUCGAGCGGAUGAAGGGAGCUUGCUCCUGGAUUCAGCGGCGGACGGGUGAGUAAUGCCUAGGAAUCUGCCUGGUAGUGGGGGAUAACGUCCGGAAACGGGCGCUAAUACCGCAUACGUCCUGAGGGAGAAAGUGGGGGAUCUUCGGACCUCACGCUAUCAGAUGAGCCUAGGUCGGAUUAGCUAGUUGGUGGGGUAAAGGCCUACCAAGGCGACGAUCCGUAACUGGUCUGAGAGGAUGAUCAGUCAGAAUGUAAGGGAAACACGGUCACGACGCGGAGGGGAGGCAGCAGUGGUAAAAGUUGGCAGACGGGAGGACUGAGGCGCCAGCCAGGGGGGUGUGGGGAAGAAGGUUGUGUGAUUGUAAAGCACUUUAUGGUGGGAGGAAGGACAGUAAUUUAAUACCUGUCUUGUUGGACGACAACAACAGAAGAAGCACCGGCUAACUCCGCGCCAGCGGCCGCGGUAAUACGCGGAAGAGCAAACGUCUGACC
This 525-nucleotide ribosomal RNA is filed under the name uncultured bacterium. Its description in RNAcentral is "partial 16S ribosomal RNA". It matches the Rfam family "Bacterial small subunit ribosomal RNA", at positions 33 to 541 of the family's 1533-position model. The record is from RNAcentral.